Molecule: ribosomal RNA, 393 nt
Filed under: uncultured bacterium
Lineage: Bacteria
Description: partial 16S ribosomal RNA
Rfam family: Bacterial small subunit ribosomal RNA
Source: RNAcentral
AUACGGGGGGUCCGAGCGUUAUCCGGAUUUAUUGGGUUUAAAGGGAGCGUAGGUGGACAGUUAAGUCAGUUGUGAAAGUUUGCGGCUCGACCGUAAAAUUGCAGUUGAUACUGGCUGUCUUGAGUACAGAAGAGGUGGGCGGAAUUCGUGGUGUAGCGGUGAAAUGCUUAGAUAUCAUGAAGAACUCCGAUUGCGAAGGCAGCUCACUGGACUGCAACUGACACUGAUGCUCGAAAGUGUGGGUAUCAAACAGGAUUAGAUACCCUGGUAGUCCACACAGUAAACGAUGAAUACUCGCUGUUUGCGAUAUACAGUAAGCGGCCAAGCGAAAGCAUUAAGUAUUCCACCUGGGGAGUACGCCGGCAACGGUGAAACUCAAAGGAAUUGACGGGG